Molecule: long non-coding RNA, 795 nt
Organism: Anthonomus grandis grandis
Lineage: Eukaryota; Metazoa; Arthropoda; Insecta; Coleoptera; Curculionidae
Exons: 2
Source: RefSeq, a predicted model, not a curated record
UCUAUACCUUUAAAACUGCCAAUUAGAAAGUGAGUUACUAGUUUUUUUCUAUAUCUUUAUGUGAAGUCAUUUAAAAAAAUAUAUGUCAAUGAUACUUUAAAAUAUCUUGAUUACACGUGUAUAUCACCCGAUGUCUUUUCAAGGCUUACCAAGAUCCCACUGCAAAAAUCCAUAUCUUGAACACAUUAUAUGUGUAUUUCGGUAAAUACGAAUUUUUUUUCAUAAGACAACAUUGCUUUAUUGGGGUCCCCCAAAAACCGUAAAUAUUUUCACAUCCUUAUUAGUACCUUAAUAUGUAUGGGUUUUUCGAAUAUUUACUACAAUGAACUUGAAUUAAUUAACAUAGUUUAAAUACAUUGAUGGUAUAUGGUGGAUAUAUAUAUAAGAUGUGUGAGACAUAGAAAAAAUAUCAUUAUCUAUUCAGAUUUUUAGUUGGCAAUUCAAAUAUGGACUUUCGCCUACCAUUGAAAUACGUUUUCUUCGCCCUGACUCUUUUGGCAUCCAAUCUUGUAUUAUCGGCCCCCAUGUCUUUAUUUUAUAUAGGUUUGGAUCCAGGACUUUACCAUAGACCUCCACCGCCACCGCCUCCUUACUAUGGCGGUGGAUUUUAUGGACCGCCACCACCUCCUCCACCACCACUGAUUUGGGGUUAAAUAGCUUUGCAUUUUGUACAUAUUUUUCUUGUACGUAUUUAUUUAAUUAAGAAAUAGUUCAGUAACAAUAAUACUAAAUAAUAAGAACUUAAAUUGUAUUCCACAAUAUAGAUAACAUCAAUAAAAAAGUUUUUUUUUUUAA